Molecule: ribosomal RNA, 206 nt
Filed under: uncultured eukaryote
Lineage: Eukaryota
Description: partial 18S ribosomal RNA
Rfam family: Eukaryotic small subunit ribosomal RNA
Source: RNAcentral
UGGUGGAGUGAUUUGUCUGGUUGAUUCCGAUAACGAGCGAGAUCUCUGCCUCUAACUACGUGGCUGCGUCGUAUUCGUACAGCUUUUUCUCGUGGCCGCCUGUGCGUCUUCGGGCGUAACGGGCCUGAGAUGGCUGGAGAUGCAGUGUUAUUUGACUUCUCAGAGGUGCCAUGCGCGCUUACCAAGCGCAUGUAUGCAAGAGUCGA